RNAcentral lists this transfer RNA (87 nucleotides) under Thelephora ganbajun. RNAcentral's name for it is "tRNA-Lys". It matches the Rfam family "tRNA". From Rfam's summary of the family: Transfer RNA (tRNA) molecules are approximately 80 nucleotides in length. Their secondary structure includes four short double-helical elements and three loops (D, anti-codon, and T loops). Lineage: Eukaryota; Fungi; Basidiomycota; Agaricomycetes; Thelephorales; Thelephoraceae. The record is from RNAcentral.
GCCCGCGUAGCUCAAUCGGAUAGAGCGUCAGACUCUUAGCUUGUGCGGGCGAUCUGAAGGCUGCGAGUUCGACCCUCGCCGUGGGCU